Molecule: long non-coding RNA, 559 nt
Filed under: Monodelphis domestica (gray short-tailed opossum)
Lineage: Eukaryota; Metazoa; Chordata; Mammalia; Didelphimorphia; Didelphidae
Description: lncRNA (ENSMODG00000046624.1)
Source: RNAcentral
AAUCCUGCUGUUUUGGUUGUCAGUCAGAAGCGGAACAUCAUUCGAAGUUUAAAAUCUUUGUGGUUGCAGAGAGAUUGUUGUUGUAAUGGCCUUCGUCUGAGCUGUAAGUCAGAAAAGUACAGUGGAUGCUAAACGCCCCAACAAGAAGGCUAGAGGGGCAGAUGCUCGAUUUGAUCAAGUACAGAGAUGCAACAGUGAAAGGUCCUUCAUUGCAAUAAAGAUUAAAAAUGAAAGAGUGCAACCAGGUCUGGCAGUACAUCCACAUCCGUUGUCCCCGAGCAGGAGACUGAGGGAGAUGAUUCUGGGAGCUUCAUGGACUCUGGAGGAGCUAGAAAUGGAGGAUAACUUCUGUUCCAUCCCUCGACCCAGGUGCAGGGAAUGGAGUCAUGCACUUGACAGUUCAAACCAUAUGGAUCUUGGAACCGAGGAUUCCAGACUGGAAGUUAUAGCCAGUCUAGCAAUGAAACCAUCAGAUGCCAGAGUCCCAAGAAGCAAGUCUAGGGAGGGCUUUGAACUGGGAGGUUACAGAGAUGAAUACUACACUGAGAGGAAGAAGUGA